This 459-nucleotide long non-coding RNA is filed under the name Capsicum annuum. RNAcentral's name for it is "long non-coding RNA (CANN_LNC016779)". Lineage: Eukaryota; Viridiplantae; Streptophyta; Magnoliopsida; Solanales; Solanaceae. The record is from RNAcentral.
UCGGGGCUUCACAUUAAUAUUAUUGAAUAAACGAAAAAAAUAUAACAAAGAAAAUCAAAAUUAUUUGAUGUCAUUAAACAUGGAAAAUAAACAAAAACUUCAUAGCUACCAUAUACUUUUUUGUUAAGGCCAGGGGAUCAAGUUCAUAUAGUCAACUAAACAUGUUUACAUUAUCCACUAAAAAAUACAUUAUUAACAGACUAGAAAAAUCUCAAACGUGCAUAGAAUUUCUUUUCUUGUUCCAUUAUUCCACUUAUGUACAUACAUACAAAUCCCUUUCCAAAUAUAUCUUCCUUCUUAGCUCCACAAUUAAUUGUUAGAGGACCAAAUAUGUGUCACACGAAGGGGAGGAAGAACAGGAAAACAACAAGCUGAAACAACAACAAAAUGGAGCUGUAAAUUGCUGCCAGAAAACAAACUAUAAAGAAGAAGAACUGAAACUUGUUUUAAUACUUUUAU